The sequence is a small RNA, 124 nucleotides long. It matches the Rfam family "Alphaproteobacterial ar14". Rfam says of the family: Smr14C2 was renamed NfeR1 (Nodule Formation Efficiency RNA) highly expressed in salt stress and during the symbiotic interaction on legume roots. The record is from Rfam.
GAAUAUCACCGGGGUGCUUUCUCCUCCUCCCAUUUCCUCGGUGAUUCAAGACCGGAUGUCCUCCUCCCAAGUCCGGUCUUCCCCAUAAAACACCCGUCGCCUCCUCCCGCGACGGGUGUUUUCG